RNAcentral lists this ribosomal RNA (899 nucleotides) under Gongromeriza myriocarpa. RNAcentral describes it as "LSU rRNA". It matches the Rfam family "Eukaryotic large subunit ribosomal RNA", at positions 38 to 966 of the family's 3401-position model. The record is from RNAcentral. Lineage: Eukaryota; Fungi; Ascomycota; Sordariomycetes; Chaetosphaeriales; Chaetosphaeriaceae.
GCAUAUCAAUAAGCGGAGGAAAAGAAACCCAACAGGGAUUGCCCCAGUAACGGCGAGUGAAGCGGCAACAGCUCAAAUUUGAAAUCUGGCCCCAGGCCCGAGUUUGUAAUUUGCAGAGGAUGCUUCGGGCGCGGUGCCUUCCAAGUCCCCUGGAACGGGGCGCCAUGGAGGGUGAGAGCCCCGUAUGGUCGGACACCAAGCCUAUGUGAAGCUCCUUCGACGAGUCGAGUAGUUUGGGAAUGCUGCUCUAAAUGGGAGGUAGACCCCUUCUAAAGCUAAAUACCGGCUAGAGACCGAUAGCGCACAAGUAGAGUGAUCGAAAGAUGAAAAGAACUUUGAAAAGAGGGUUAAACAGCACGUGAAAUUGUUAAAAGGGAAGCGCUUGUGACCAGACUUGCGCCGGGGCGAUCAUCUGGCGUUCUCGCCGGUGCACUCGCCCCGGCCCAGGCCAGCGUCGGUUCGGGAGGGGGGACAAGGACGUUGGGGACGUGGCUCCCCCGGGAGUGUUACAGCCCAGCGUGUCAUGCCCCCGCCCGGACCGAGGUUCGCGCUCUGCAAGGACGCUGGCGUAAUGGUCAUCAGCGGCCCGUCUUGAAACACGGACCAAGGAGUCGAGGUUCUGCGCGAGUGUUUGGGUGCCAAACCCGCACGCGUAAUGAAAGUGAACGUAGGUGGGAGCCUCGGCGCACCACCGACCGAUCCUGAUGUUUUCGGAUGGAUUUGAGUACGAGCGUUGGGCCUCGGACCCGAAAGAUGGUGAACUAUGCUUGGAUAGGGUGAAGCCAGAGGAAACUCUGGUGGAGGCUCGCAGCGGUUCUGACGUGCAAAUCGAUCGUCAAAUCUGAGCAUGGGGGGCGAAAGACUAAUCGAACCAUCCUAGUAGCUGGUUACCGCCGAAG